UACGGAGGGUGCAAGCGUUAUCCGGAUUCACUGGGUUUAAAGGGUGCGUAGGCGGGUUGGUAAGUCCGUGGUGAAAUCCCCAAGCUUAACUUGGGAACUGCCGUGGAUACUAUCAAUCUUGAAUAUCGUGGAGGUAAGCGGAAUAUGUCAUGUAGCGGUGAAAUGCUUAGAUAUGACAUAGAACACCAAUUGCGUAGGCAGCUUACUAAGGUGCAAUUGACGCUGAGGCACGAAAGCGUGGGGAUCAAACAGG
RNAcentral lists this ribosomal RNA (253 nucleotides) under uncultured bacterium. Its description in RNAcentral is "partial 16S ribosomal RNA". It matches the Rfam family "Bacterial small subunit ribosomal RNA", at positions 524 to 776 of the family's 1533-position model. The record is from RNAcentral.